UGGCUGUCGUCAGCUCGUGUCGUGAGAUGUUGGGUUAAGUCCUUUAACGAGCGCAACUCUUGCCGUUAGUCGCUAUCCCGUGAGGGAGCACUCUAACGGGACUGCCUGGGAAACCAGGAGGAAGGUGGGAAUGACGUCAAGUCCUCAUGGCCCUUAUGCCUAGGGCAACACACGUGUUACAAUGGUCGGUACAAAGGGUCGCAAUCUCGUAAGGGUGAGCUAAUCUCAGAAAGCCGAUCUAAGUUCGGAUUGAGGUCUGCAACUCGACCUCAUGAAGCUGAAAUCGCUAGUAAUCGCGCAUCAGAACGGCGCGGUGAAUACGUUCUCGGACCUUGUACACACCGCCCGUCACGCCACG
Molecule: ribosomal RNA, 358 nt
Filed under: uncultured bacterium
Lineage: Bacteria
Description: bacterial SSU rRNA
Rfam family: Bacterial small subunit ribosomal RNA
Source: RNAcentral